UGAGGAAUUUUCUGCAAUGGACGAAAGUCUGACAGAGCAAUACCGCGUGAGGGAUGGAGGCCUACGGGUUGUAAACCUCUUUUCUCAAGGAGGAAGAUCUGACGUUACUUGAGGAAUAAGCAUCGGCUAACCCUGUGCCAGCAGCCGCGGUAAUACAGGGGAUGCAAGUGUUAUCCGGAAUUAUUGGGCGUAAAGCGUCUGCAGGUGGAUAAAUAAGUCCUUUGUUAAAUCUCUGAGCUUAACUCAGAAUCUGCAAAAGAAACUGUUUAUCUUGAGUAUGGUAGAGGUAAGGGGAAUUUCCAGUGGAGCGGUGAAAUGCGUAGAUAUUGGAAAGAACACCAACAGCGAAGGCACCUUACUGGGCCAGUACUGACACUCAGAGACGAAAGCUAGGGGAGCAAACGGG
Molecule: ribosomal RNA, 406 nt
Filed under: uncultured bacterium
Lineage: Bacteria
Description: bacterial SSU rRNA
Rfam family: Bacterial small subunit ribosomal RNA
Source: RNAcentral